Molecule: long non-coding RNA, 4349 nt
Organism: Spinacia oleracea (spinach)
Lineage: Eukaryota; Viridiplantae; Streptophyta; Magnoliopsida; Caryophyllales; Amaranthaceae
Exons: 3
Source: RefSeq, a predicted model, not a curated record
AUCGAAAAAGUGAAAACCCUCUAUCAACCUAAAUCCUCUAUCAACCUAAACCCUCAAUGGCGAAAAACCUCCAUCAGCAAAAAAAACCUCCAUCAGCGAAAAACCUCCGCCCACGAAAUACUCCAGAAAUUGAAACCAGACCUCCAUCAACAAAUUGAGAACGAAAUUACAGUUUCAGACACAAUCACUUAGGCACCGCACGAAGCAGUCGGCGAACGUACCCUUCCAAAACCGUCUUCGGUUCGUCCUCUUCCUCUUCUCUAUUUGUAAUUUGAUUUAGUGAUUUGGUUUAGUUUCUAGGUUUGUCUUUGUGUUAGUUGGUUCAUUAUUGCUUCUUAUAGCUUACAAUGAGGAGCAAUUUUAUGAUUUGUUGCUUAAAGCUUCAAAUUUUGAAUUUAAAUGGAUUAAUGAGAGUUGAGGGGUUCCUAUAUUGUGUACAUGAUUACCAUUGUUGGAUGAUUUAGGCUUUAAAAAUAUGUUAUGUGUUUUAAUGUACUUGGUAGUUUAGUCUGAGGUUAAUUAACCCUACGGCGAUGGUUAUUGCUGUAUCCAAAGCACCUUAUUAAUUGGUUAUUUGUUUAUUUGAUUUAUGACGAAUGAAGUGUGUGAACUUUGAGUUUGAUGUAACGUUGUUGCAAUGGCUAUUGAAUACCGGAAAAAAUCUAUGAGUUUUAUCGAAUUUGCUUCACUCGAGCAGUCGAUCUUGCCUUGUUCUUCUAAAUUGCCCAUGUCUAUAUUUGCUUGUUGGAGUGUGGGUUCUAUGGGGGGAAAUUAUUUUGACCAUGUUUUUCUAAGUUGCUCAUAGGGGCCUGCUUGAAGGUGAAGCCAAUCAAGCCAUCUUUAUUUACAGUAUAGUAGUAGACUUUAAAAAGUUUAUAGAAUACGUUUGUAGAUGAGUUGAGUUUUGGGGGUUUAUACAAUUUUGUAUCUGCUAAUUGGUUUAGCUGGGUUGGAAGUCUUUGCACUUGAGUGAUAGUGUGAUACGUAUUUCCCUAUUGGGUGAUGGGAUGGGGGAGACGAGAUCACAAGAGUAUAAGUUGCUGAAUAAAAUGGCAUUCAUAUUCGUCAGUCUUUCCGAAAGGAUAUGAAGUCUUGUUCGAAUUGCUUACUUUAACAGAGGUUUAGUUUUUCUAGUUUUGUAUUUGUGUUCGUUGGUUCAUUACUGUUUCUUACGACAGACUUACUGAAAGGGUGUGAAGUCUGUUUCUUACUAUUGAAUAACUCGUGUCCAGCUGAAUAAAUUGAUUAAGGAAUAAUAUUAAAUAAAUAAAAGUUAGAAAUUAACAGGGAUUGUGGCCACAGGGAUCUUGCAGCUUUCUAUGAGUUUCUGGAUGUGUGUGCUUAAUUUCUCUUGGAUGUUUAUAGGCAUAGUUCUCCAUGUGUCGUGUUGGGCCAAAGUUCAGUGCUUUCAAGGAAUUUGUUUUGGUGAUUAUAUUUGCAGAUGGUCUAUUUGAUCUCUAAAUGAGUAAUACAAGGUUGGGUAUUGAUCAUCAUAGGUUUUCUUAGCUUUGGACUGGAAAUUUACUGCAGCUCUUGCUGAUGCUGUCUGGUUUUAAUUUAAAAUUGCUGAUCUUGUAAGAUGGACAUCAAAUUAUCGAGAAAGGUUAUUUUUUACAGGUCAUAAUCUAAAUUUUCAGAGGUCCAUCUUUUUGUUUGGAGUACUGUGAAGUCAUAUACUCAUUAGGUUUAAGAGGGUUACACAACUUUGUCUCCAUCGAGUUUGGCAUCUUUUAGUUGUAGGAAAAUUGUCAAAUGACUCAAAUCCUAUUUCUUAUACGCACCUACAGAUUCUGCAACAUAGUUUGGACCUUCCAUCUUACAAGAUGGAAUGCUCAAAAUUGAUGAGUUGCAGGAGAAUGUUAAAAUAGUUGCAUACGAGUCUUAGCUUCUCACUCAGUAGUGUGGUCAGGCCGUAUAUAAUGUUAUGAUAAGUUCUUCACAUUUUGUGUUGUAGAGUUGUUUGUGCUCACCCAAUUUCCUUUGACUGUUGUUGGGGAUACUCAAAACUUAUGAACUUGUGGAACUUCAUUUACAUUGUGACAAAACCAUUCUCCCAUUAGAUUUGGUUGCGGCAUUAUUCUUGAAAAAUAAGAAUUAUCGAAAUAAGAAAUCAGACAUACUGUUUUAUUGAGAGCUAGUGUUAUUCAUACAUAAACAUUCAUAACGAAUUAGGUUUAAUAUCUUCUUUUUAAAUUUCCUGUAAAUAGCCUCGGUAAUUAGCUACCAUGUUCAUCUUUGAACCGUGUUUCUUUAUAGGUUUAGUGAUUACCUGUUCAGGCUUAAAACCGGUAAAUCUAUAAUAGACAUCAUGUCCCUCCGUUAUCAUAUGGAUUAAUUGCCUCAAGCUUAGCUCUAUAAUAUAGCUGUGUGUGUGUCUCUCUAGUCACAAUGCAGAAGAAAGAAGAACCAUAAUCUUUCAGAGUCGAUAUCAAGUGAUCCGUCUUCUAUUCUCAAUACCUUUGACCUUGUGCUUAAUGAUGUUAUCAUCGUUUGACAUCUCAUCUACAUUGUUUAUGUGAUUUUUCUAUUAGCAAUCGAGAUAAACUCCUGCAGAACUGUUUCAGAUCACACACAAAAAAUAGCUAGUUCAACAUUUAUCUUAAAUUUUAAAGAAAAGAGUAAGAAAAUAUCAGGGGUAGAAUCCUGAAUAUAUCUCUUUAUAUAUUCCUGAUUCUCUAGCAGGUUUUGAUACUUCCACAACAUAAUUUUUUGGUGCCACUUCAAUUAUCUCAUCCAACAGGUUAAAAGAUGAACGAAACUUUGAUUUUAGUUGUAUUUGCAUCGUGCUGUUACUCAUCCAUUGAACUGAAAGACUUGCAUCCCUUGCUGCUUUCUCUAUCUUUUCUAUAGUUUCAGUGAUUGUGUAUUUUGAUCCCAGCAUUAUCAUGUUGUUCUUGUCGUCCUGUUUUUCAAGAUACCAAUUAAUCUAAUGAGUGCAGUUCUUAUUAGUAAAAUUUACUACUUAAUUUGAGAAAAUCACUAGAGAAUCCUCAUUAAUCAAAUUUAAGGGGCAAAACAUAUUUUGGUUUCAUGUUUGUAGACUUGCCUGCUCUUCAAAUAGGGUUGACAAAUCAAGGUCUCUAGAUAUUGCGACCAGUUGGAAUGCAUUGAUAAAUCCUUGAGUUUCAGGGACAAUUUCUUUUUCUGACCUUUCCUAAAAAAAGGCUUGGCAAUUAUUUAGCAUGUUCAUCUUUGAACAACACGUGUUUCUUGUAUAGGUUUAGUCAUUACCUUUUCAGGCUCAAAAACUGCUCGAACGUCAUCUGUGUAGCUCUUUCCUUGAAAGUAAAUUCCUGCAGCAGGCUUAUAAUCUCUCUGAAACCACUCAUCUUCAACAAAUUCUUCUAUUGUAAUUCUCUGCAGAAAACAGAAGUCGAGGAUGGUUAGAUCAAUCUGUUGUUUUUAAGUGAUCCUAUACUUUCAUAUGAAUUUAAAUCGUAUACCUUUUUUGAAUGGGGAUUCAAUAAUCUGCCAAUAAGUUGCUUCUGACUUGGUGUAAACCAAUUUGGACAUUCAUACUCAACUCUCAAUAUCUAUGCAGAGGAAACUUUGCCAGAUGAAGAGUUCUUUUGUAUGAUAAAAAGUGUUUUACUGUUUAUUUUGUGAGGAAAAAUACCUUUGUGUACAAAUUCAAUAGAUUUGGGUCAAUGAAUGGUAGUUAACCAGCACACAACUCAAAUAAGAUCACUCCACAAGCCCAGACAUCUGCAACUGCUCCGUCUUUCCUCUUACCUCAGGUGCUACAUAGCUUGGAGAACCACAUGCUGUCAACAACAAACUUCCAGGCUGUAGGCAUCAGUUCAGAAAUUAGUAAGCGAAACAUUGGGUAAACGAAUUUCACUUUGAUGAUAAGUAUGUACCUUUUGCAAUGCACUGAGUCCAAAGUCUGGUACUUUGAGGUUUCCUUGGUUAUGCAAAAGCAGGUUUUCUGGCUGCAUAGUAAAUGAAACAUGUCGAUUGGGUCAGUCAGCUGGUUUGAGUUCUUAUUUGGAUCGGGCAAUCUAAUGGAGUUCAGAGUUCAGUAUAGCUACAUCUUUCAGCUGUUUACAAUACCUAUAAAUCGCUGUGAUACACUCCUCUGGAAUGGCAGUAGUCUACUGCUGGAAGUAUUUUGUUGCAUCACUUUACUUCUCCAACAUUUCACUCUGGAGGUAUAUACUCAAGAAAUUAUCGAUAUAUGUUCGUGAAAGAUGGUGUGGAUUUUUCAUUGAUAAUUGUUUAUAGUUAAUUAAUUUCAGUUUGACACUUAGUUGGCAUAAACUUCUCAAAUUCGUGUCUAGGAUUUUCUAAUAUGUAAAAAUACAAAAGUAUUAUGUAUGACUUUUAUCAAUUUUUGAGAUUAUAUUUCA